Molecule: ribosomal RNA, 467 nt
Filed under: uncultured bacterium
Lineage: Bacteria
Description: partial 16S ribosomal RNA
Rfam family: Bacterial small subunit ribosomal RNA
Source: RNAcentral
GACGAACGCUGGCGGCGUGCUUAACGCAUGCAAGUCGAACGGAAAGGCCCUGCUUUUGUGGGGUGCUCGAGUGGCGAACGGGUGAGUAACACGUGAGUAACCUGCCCUUGACUUUGGGAUAACUUCAGGAAACUGGGGCUAAUACCGGAUAGGAGCUCCUGCUGCAUGGUGGGGGUUGGAAAGUUUCGGCGGUUGGGGAUGGACUCGCGGCUUAUCAGCUUGUUGGUGGGGUAGUGGCUUACCAAGGCUUUGACGGGUAGCCGGCCUGAGAGGGUGACCGGCCACAUUGGGACUGAGAUACGGCCCAGACUCCUACGGGAGGCAGCAGUGGGGAAUAUUGCACAAUGGGCGGAAGCAUGAUGGAGCAACGCCGCGUGCGGGAUGACGGCCUUCGGGUUGUAAACCGCUUUCGCCUGUGACGAAGCGUGAGUGACGGUAAUGGGUAAAGAAGCACCGGCUAACUACGU